RNAcentral lists this ribosomal RNA (253 nucleotides) under uncultured bacterium. RNAcentral's name for it is "partial 16S ribosomal RNA". It matches the Rfam family "Bacterial small subunit ribosomal RNA", at positions 524 to 776 of the family's 1533-position model. The record is from RNAcentral.
UACGUAGGGUGCAAGCGUUAAUCGGAAUUACUGGGCGUAAAGCGUGCGCAGGCGGUUUUGUAAGUCUGACGUGAAAUCCCCGGGCUCAACCUGGGAAUUGCGUUGGAGACUGCAAGGCUAGAAUCUGGCAGAGGGAGGUAGAAUUCCACGUGUAGCAGUGAAAUGCGUAGAGAUGUGGAGGAACACCGAUGGCGAAGGCAGCCCCCUGGGUCAAGAUUGACGCUCAUGCACGAAAGCGUGGGGAGCAAACAGG